AUGUCUCGGCUGCGCCCUCCCCACGCCUUCCCCUUGCGGACGCUUCCUGUCGCCAGGCCCCGGCCCACGGCCCCACCCCCAGCCCGGGUCCCCCGUGGCUGGGACGCCUGCCGCCACCCCCACCCUGCCAGGCCCUGCCAUCUGUCUGUGGCCGGGCCUCCUGGGUCACAGGGGUGGGAGGAGGCACACGCGCCCCGACACUCGGCGCCUGAGAGCUGCUUCACCCCCAAGCGUGAACGAGUGGGGCUGUGUGCGGCUGCGGGCCCACGGCUGGGGACACGGGCGGGGGACGGCGUCAGGCAGGCGCUGUGCCGCGUCCCAGGCUCCUGCGGCUGCAGGCUGCCGACCGACUCGGGCUCUGAGGCCCCCCGAGGCCAGCCGGGCCAGCAGGACGCUCCAAAGACGCCCCGGCCACGUCCGUGCCUCUCCCAGAAGAGCCAGAGGCCCUGGGCUCCGGGCGGGGGAGCGGGCACGGCCUCCUGGCGACGGCCAGCAGCGGGGGCAGGGGUUCCCGCACCCCCACGGGCCCUGCCCCACUGUGGCUGUAGCUCCCCCCACCGCCGUCAAAGGAGCCUUGUGGCCGCCCCAGGUAGCGGGUGCCGGUGGUCCUGGAGGGGCUCCAGGAAGGAGCAGUGCAGAAGGGCCCUGAGAAGAAACUGGAAAAGGCAGAGGGAAAGGCCUGAAGGAACAGGCAUUGGCCCCCGCGAGCCCGGCCCACCCCGCCCACCCGCCGAGCCGGGCCCUCCGUGCCCAGGGCUGAGUCAGGGCUGGGGAGCGGCCAGCGCGGCAGGAGGUGCUGCCCAGGGUGCGUGGGGCCCAGGCGGGGUCAGCUCCCUUCACCGCGGCCCGGAGUGGGCGGGCCGGGCUCCCAGGACGCCGCCUUCCUGCCCAUGCGUCAGAGGGUGGGAGCCCGGCCGGGCAGUGGGGGCUCAGACGAGUCUCCGUGAGGGCGGAGGGUCGUGGCCACCGAGCUCGUUGCCCUUCAUCCACCCCGUCCCCACUAAAGCUAGGCGGCCACCAAGUUCUCGGUGA
This 1032-nucleotide long non-coding RNA is filed under the name Canis lupus familiaris (dog). Its description in RNAcentral is "lncRNA (ENSCAFG00030000553.1)". The record is from RNAcentral. Lineage: Eukaryota; Metazoa; Chordata; Mammalia; Carnivora; Canidae.